Molecule: ribosomal RNA, 756 nt
Filed under: Formosa sp. UST050418-061
Lineage: Bacteria; Pseudomonadati; Bacteroidota; Flavobacteriia; Flavobacteriales; Flavobacteriaceae
Description: bacterial SSU rRNA
Rfam family: Bacterial small subunit ribosomal RNA
Source: RNAcentral
CGGCAGGCUUACACANUCCAAGUGCUUUAAGGUAGCAGAGCUUGCUCCGCUGACGACCGGCGAACGGGUGCGUAACGCGUAUAGAAUCUACCUCUUACUAAGGGAUAGCCCAGAGAAAUUUGGAUUAAUAUCUUAUAGUAUGUUGACUUGGCAUCAAGAUAACAUUAAAGGUUACGGUAAGAGAUGACUAUGCGUCCUAUUAGCUAGAUGGUGUGGUAACGGCACACCAUGGCAACGAUAGGUAGGGGCCCUGAGAGGGGGAUCCCCCACACUGGUACUGAGACACGGACCAGACUCCUACGGGAGGCAGCAGUGAGGAAUAUUGGACAAUGGAGGCAACUCUGAUCCAGCCAUGCCGCGUGCAGGAAGACUGCCCUAUGGGUUGUAAACUGCUUUUAUACAGGAAGAAACACUCUCACGUGUGAGAGCUUGACGGUACUGUAAGAAUAAGGAUCGGCUAACUCCGUGCCAGCAGCCGCGGUAAUACGGAGGAUCCAAGCGUUAUCCGGAAUCAUUGGGUUUAAAGGGUCCGUAGGUGGAUAAUUAAGUCAGAGGUGAAAUCCUGCAGCUCAACUGUAGAAUUGCCUUUGAUACUGGUUGUCUUGAGUUAUUAUGAACGUCAGUUAGAAUAUGUAGUGUAGCGGUGACAAUGCUAGAUUUACUUCGAAUACCACAUUUGCGAAAGGCGAUUACUAAUUAUAUCUGACCUGNUGGACGAAGCGUGGGGAGCGACGGAUUGAUCCCUGGGUNUCCCGC